RNAcentral lists this ribosomal RNA (673 nucleotides) under uncultured bacterium. Its description in RNAcentral is "bacterial SSU rRNA". It matches the Rfam family "Bacterial small subunit ribosomal RNA", at positions 29 to 672 of the family's 1533-position model. The record is from RNAcentral.
AUGUAACCGCUGGCGGCGUGCCUAACACAUGCAAGUCGAACGAGAAAGGGGCUUUCGGGUCCUGAGUAAAGUGGCGAACGGGUGAGUAACGCGUGGGCAACCUGUACUCGAGUGGGGAAUAACCAGGCGAAAGCCGGGCUAAUACCGCAUGACAUCUCGAAGUCUCCGGGCUUUGAGAUCAAAGGUGGCGAGCUUCGUGCGCUGCCGCUUGAGAAGGGGCCCGCGUCCCAUUAGCUUGUUGGUGGGGUCACGGCCCACCAAGGCUCCGAUGGGUAGCCGAGCUGAGAGGCUGAUCGGCCACACUGGAACUGAGACACGGUCCAGACUCCUACGGGAGGCAGCAGUGGGGAAUUUUGCGCAAUGGGGGAAACCCUGACGCAGCGACGCCGCGUGGGCGAUGAAGGCCUUCGGGUCGUAAAGCCCUGUCGAGAGGGACGAACCGCCCGAGCUCUAACAUAGCUCGGGUCUGACGGUACCUCUGGAGGAAGCCCCGGCCAACUCCGUGCCAGCAGCCGCGGUAAUACGGAGGGGGCGAGCGUUAUUCGGAAUUAUUGGGCGUAAAAGGGCGUGUAGGCGGCCUCGUAUGUCCUCUGUGAAAGCCCUCGGCUCACCCGAGGAAUUGCAGGGGGAAACUUCCGGGGCUCGAGUCCGGGAGAGGAGAGCGGAAUUCCCA